This 100-nucleotide signal recognition particle RNA is filed under the name Teredinibacter turnerae T7901. Its description in RNAcentral is "bacterial signal recognition particle RNA". It matches the Rfam family "Bacterial small signal recognition particle RNA". From Rfam's summary of the family: The signal recognition particle (SRP) is a universally conserved ribonucleoprotein involved in the co-translational targeting of proteins to membranes. Archaeal SRP consists of a 7S RNA and homologues of the eukaryotic SRP19 and SRP54 proteins. In most bacteria, the SRP consists of a 4.5S RNA and the Ffh protein (a homologue of the eukaryotic SRP54 protein). The record is from RNAcentral. Lineage: Bacteria; Pseudomonadati; Pseudomonadota; Gammaproteobacteria; Cellvibrionales; Cellvibrionaceae.
AGCUCGGUUCCCCCGCAACAAUUCGCUGUGAACCCCGCCAGGUCCGGAAGGAAGCAACGGUAGCAGUAACAUUGUGUGCCGGGGUGUGGCUGGGUUGAGU